RNAcentral lists this microRNA (20 nucleotides) under Drosophila virilis. Its description in RNAcentral is "dvi-miR-9538b-5p". Lineage: Eukaryota; Metazoa; Arthropoda; Insecta; Diptera; Drosophilidae. The record is from miRBase by way of RNAcentral.
AAUUGUUCUUGCUGCCGUCU